AGUGAACGCUGGCGGUAGGCCUAACACAUGCAAGUCGAACGGCAGCACAGUAAGAGCUUGCUCUUACGGGUGGCGAGUGGCGGACGGGUGAGGAAUACAUCGGAAUCUACUUUUUCGUGGGGGAUAACGUAGGGAAACUUACGCUAAUACCGCAUACGACCUACGGGUGAAAGCAGGGGAUCUUCGGACCUUGCGCGAUUGAAUGAGCCGAUGUCGGAUUAGAUAGUUGGCGGGGUAAAGGCCCACCAAGGCGACGAUCCGUAGCUGGUCUGAGAGGAUGAUCGGCCACACUGGAACUGAGACACGGUCAAGACUCCUACGGGAGGCAGCAGUGGGGAAUAUUGGACAAUGGGGGCAAGCAUGAUCCAGCCAUCGCGCGUGGGUGAAGAAGGCCUUCGGGUUGUAAAGCCCUUUUGUUGGGAAAAAAAAGCAGCAGGUUAAUACCCCGCUGUUCUGACGGUACCCAAAGAAUAAGCACCGGCUAACUUCGUG
Molecule: ribosomal RNA, 492 nt
Filed under: uncultured bacterium
Lineage: Bacteria
Description: partial 16S ribosomal RNA
Rfam family: Bacterial small subunit ribosomal RNA
Source: RNAcentral